CCCUUAGAUGUUCUGGGCAGCACGCGCGCUACAAUGGUCUUCGCAAACGGAUGCAUUCUCGAAGGAGAAUGCCAAUCUUGGAAUCUAUGCCUUGGUCGGGACAGUUGCUUGCAAUUUUUCGACUCGAACCAGGAAUUCCUUGUAAUCGUGAUUCAUCACAUCACGAUGAAUACGUCCCUGCCCUUUGUACACACCGCCCGUCGCUCCUACCGAUCGAAGAGUUAGGUGAAUUGUUUUGAUCGAUAAGAUUUGACUAUGGUCAACUCUCGUUGUGAAAUUCUGUGAAUCUGACUGUUCAGAGGAAGGAAAAGUCGUAACA
RNAcentral lists this ribosomal RNA (319 nucleotides) under uncultured eukaryote. Its description in RNAcentral is "partial 18S ribosomal RNA". It matches the Rfam family "Eukaryotic small subunit ribosomal RNA", at positions 1470 to 1796 of the family's 1831-position model. The record is from RNAcentral.